GAUGAACGCUGACAGAAUGCUUAACACAUGCAAGUCAACUUGAACUUCGGUUUGGGUGGCGGACGGGUGAGUCACGCGUAAAGAACUUGCCUCACAGAUAGGGACAACAUUUGGAAACGAAUGCUAAUACCUGAUAUUAUGAUUAUAUGGCAUCGUAUAAUUAUGAAAGCUAUAUGCGCUGUGAGAGAGCUUUGCGUCCCAUUAGCUAGUUGGAGAGGUAACGGCUCACCAAGGCGAUGAUGGGUAGCCGGCCUGAGAGGGUGAUCGGCCACAAGGGGACUGAGACACGGCCCUUACUCCUACGGGAGGCAGCAGUGGGGAAUAUUGGACAAUGGACCAAGAGUCUGAUCCAGCAAUUCUGUGUGCACGAUGAAGUUUUUCGGAAUGUAAAGUGCUCUCAGUUGGGAAGAAAAAAAUGACGGUACCAACAGAAGAAGUGACGGCUAAAUACGUG
This 454-nucleotide ribosomal RNA is filed under the name uncultured bacterium. Its description in RNAcentral is "partial 16S ribosomal RNA". It matches the Rfam family "Bacterial small subunit ribosomal RNA", at positions 28 to 507 of the family's 1533-position model. The record is from RNAcentral.